GCCUGAGAUGUCCUGAGGACUGGAUACCUCAGAGAGUUUGGACUAAGCUACCAGAGUGCACAUCCAUUCCAGAUUCAUUUUCCUCCCAUCUCCAACACCAUAAUACUAAUAACCACCAGCUGCUGACAAAACAGAAAUGGAACAUGGAGAUACAAGCAAACGAAAAAAGCCCAGUUCUGUAAGGAGAAAGAUAUACUACUGUGGAGAACAUGAGGACAUCCAAGUACAGGUACAGGAGUAGGACAGGAUA
Prionailurus viverrinus (fishing cat) is the source of this 250-nucleotide long non-coding RNA. RefSeq lists it as uncharacterized. The transcript is spliced from 3 exons. Lineage: Eukaryota; Metazoa; Chordata; Mammalia; Carnivora; Felidae. The record is from RefSeq and is a predicted model, not a curated record.